UACGUAGGGGGCUAGCGUUGUCCGGAAUCAUUGGGCGUAAAGAGCGUGUAUGCGGUCCGGUAAGUCCGCUGUGAAAGUCGGGGGCUCAACCCUCGAAUGCCGGUGGAUACUGUCGGGCUAGAGUGCGGAAGAGGCGAGUGGAAUUCCUGGUGUAGCGGUGAAAUGCGCAGAUAUCAGGAGGAACACCUAUUGCGAAGGCAGCUCGCUGGGACGUAACUGACGCUGAGACGCGAAAGCGUGGGGAGCAAACGGG
Molecule: ribosomal RNA, 253 nt
Filed under: uncultured bacterium
Lineage: Bacteria
Description: partial 16S ribosomal RNA
Rfam family: Bacterial small subunit ribosomal RNA
Source: RNAcentral